GACGAACGCUGGCGGCGUGCCUAAUACAUGCAAGUCGAACGCUGAAGAGAGGAGCUUGCUCUUCUUGGAUGAGUUGCGAACGGGUGAGUAACGCGUAGGUAACCUGCCUUGUAGCGGGGGAUAACUAUUGGAAACGAUAGCUAAUACCGCAUAACAAUGGAUGACACAUGUCAUUUAUUUGAAAGGGGCAAUUGCUCCACUACAAGAUGGACCUGCGUUGUAUUAGCUAGUAGGUGAGGUAAUGGCUCACCUAGGCGACGAUACAUAGCCGACCUGAGAGGGUGAUCAGCCACACUGGGACUGAGACACGGCCCAGACUCCUACGGGAGGCAGCAGUAGGGAAUCUUCGGCAAUGGGGGCAAACCUGACCGAGCAACGCCGCGUGAGUGAAGAAGGUUUUCGGAUCGUAAAGCUCUGUUGUAAGUCAAGAACGGGUGUGAGAGUGGAAAGUUCACACUGUGACGGUAGCUUACCAGAAAGGGACGGCUAACUACGUG
This 497-nucleotide ribosomal RNA is filed under the name uncultured bacterium. RNAcentral describes it as "partial 16S ribosomal RNA". It matches the Rfam family "Bacterial small subunit ribosomal RNA", at positions 28 to 507 of the family's 1533-position model. The record is from RNAcentral.